This is a non-coding RNA of Coturnix japonica (Japanese quail), 713 nucleotides long. The record is from RefSeq and is a predicted model, not a curated record. Lineage: Eukaryota; Metazoa; Chordata; Aves; Galliformes; Phasianidae.
CCAGCCCCCAAAAAUGCACGUAUGGAAAGGCAUCGUCACCCCGCAUGUUCAUUUCUCGGACGUUCUCAGAUGCUGCUCACCAGGAGUCAAACCCACCAUGAAUUACCGCCUUAUGAAGAGAGCUGGAGGUGAUGUGUGGACUUUGUUGCUGCCUCUUCCAUAUACCCAGCUGAUACAGAGACAGGAUUUCCAAACAAGUUAUGGAGAAUGGAGAGGGAAAGAGAAUUUCAGGGCUGGGCUGUUAGCCCAGAAUAAUGGAACAUGGGUACACUGAUGGAUGACAGGAAGCUUCUGCAAUUUGCUGAAGUACAACUAAUAGCUGGCAAGCUGAAGAUCAACUCUGUCUGUAAAUACAGUUUGGGCCAAACAGAGUCACUUCAAGGUUUCUGACCUUGUAUCAGCUGCAGCUCAGGCUGGAGGUUGAAUCCAUGAGUGCAGAAGCAAUCCUUGACCCUGCAGCCUGCUUAUAUCCCAGGCCUCUAAGACCACGAGUCUUUCACAUCUGGUCAGAAUAAAGGCAGAGACAGGCAAUGAAGGGCGAGGUCUGAUUUCUGUCUCGUACUGAGUUUUGCUGUCCUCAAGCUCUUCUCCGAGGUGAAUGUUCUUGCCAGACAUUAUCAGCUUCAGCAGUUUGGCUCAGAGUUUUGCUCCAGACUCUUUUGUUCUGUUGACUUUUGGAUCAACUCUGCACUGGCUCUGUUUUGAAAGUUACU